Small nuclear RNA from Castor canadensis (American beaver), 109 nucleotides. NCBI's taxonomy places the organism in Eukaryota, Metazoa, Chordata, Mammalia, Rodentia, Castoridae. The record is from Ensembl.
AUGCUCACUCUGACAGCACAUAGACUAAAAUGGGAACCAUACAGAAAAGAUUAGCAUGGCCCCUGAGCAAGGACGACACGCAAAUUGUAAAGAGAAUAUUCAAAAAUAA